CUACGGGGGGCACCAGUGAGGAAUAUUGCACAAUGGGGGGAACCCUGAUGCAGCAACGCCGCGUGGAGGAUGACGCAUUUCGGUGUGUAAACUCCUUUUAUAUGUCAAGAAAAUGACGGUAGCAUAUGAAUAAGCACCGGCUAACUCCGUGUCAGCAGCCGCGGUAAUACGGAGGGUGCAAGCGUUACUCGGAAUCACUGGGCGUAAAGGACGCGUAGGCGGGUUGGAAAGUCAGGUGUGAAAUCCUACAGCUCAACUGUAGAACUGCACUUGAAACUUCUAAUCUAGAGUAUGGGAGGGGGAGAUGGAAUUAGUGGUGUAGGGGUAAAAUCCGUAGAUAUCACUAGGAAUACCUAAAGCGAAGGCGAUCUCCUGGAACAUUACUGACGCUAAGGUGUGAAAGCGUGGGGAGCAAACAGGAUUAGAUACCCGUGUAGUC
This 439-nucleotide ribosomal RNA is filed under the name uncultured bacterium. RNAcentral describes it as "partial 16S ribosomal RNA". It matches the Rfam family "Bacterial small subunit ribosomal RNA", at positions 339 to 795 of the family's 1533-position model. The record is from RNAcentral.